Molecule: ribosomal RNA, 406 nt
Filed under: uncultured bacterium
Lineage: Bacteria
Description: bacterial SSU rRNA
Rfam family: Bacterial small subunit ribosomal RNA
Source: RNAcentral
UGGGGAAUAUUGCACAAUGGGCGGAAGCCUGAUGCAGCGACGCCGCGUGGGGGAUGACGGCCUUCGGGUUGUAAACCUCUUUCAGUGCAGAACAAGGCUCUUUGUGGGUUGAGGGUAUGCGCAGAAGAAGCGCCGGCUAACUACGUGCCAGCAGCCGCGGUAAUACGUAGGGCGCGAGCGUUGUCCGGAUUUAUUGGGCGUAAAGAGCUCGUAGGCGGUUUGUCGCGUCUGCUGUGAAAUCCUCUGGCUUAACUGGGGGCGUGCAGUGGGUACGGGCAGGCUGGAGUGCGGUAGAGGAGACUGGAAUUCCUGGUGUAGCGGUGGAAUGCGCAGAUAUCAGGAGGAACACCGGUGGCGAAGGCGGGUCUCUGGGCCGUUACUGACGCUGAGGAGCGAAAGCAUGGGG